Molecule: ribosomal RNA, 253 nt
Filed under: uncultured bacterium
Lineage: Bacteria
Description: partial 16S ribosomal RNA
Rfam family: Bacterial small subunit ribosomal RNA
Source: RNAcentral
UACGGAGGAUCCAAGCGUUAUCCGGAAUCAUUGGGUUUAAAGGGUGCGUAGGCGGCUUUAUAAGUCAGUGGUGAAAGCCUACAGCUUAACUGUAGAACUGCCAUUGAUACUGUAGGGCUUGAAUCUAGUUGAAGUGGGCGGAAUACGUCAUGUAGCGGUGAAAUGCAUAGAUAUGACGUAGAACACCGAUUGCGAAGGCAGCUCACUAAGUUAGUAUUGACGCUGAGGCACGAAAGCGUGGGGAGCGAACAGG